RNAcentral lists this ribosomal RNA (301 nucleotides) under uncultured bacterium. Its description in RNAcentral is "partial 16S ribosomal RNA". It matches the Rfam family "Bacterial small subunit ribosomal RNA", at positions 509 to 807 of the family's 1533-position model. The record is from RNAcentral.
CAGUCGCCACGGUAACACGUAGGGUGCAAGCGUUAAUCGGAAUCACUGGGCGUAAAGGGAGCGUAGGCGGCGUGGUAAGUCAGAUGUGAAAUCCCGGGGCUCAACCCCGGAACUGCAUCCGAUACUGCCGUGCUAGAGGAUUGGAGAGGUAGCUGGAAUUCUUGGUGUAGCAGUGAAAUGCGUGGAGAUCAAGAGGAACACUCGUGGCGAAAGCGAGCUACUGGACAAUAUCUGACGCUGAGGCUCGAAGGCCAGGGUAGCGAAAGGGAUUAGAUACCCCCGUAGUCCCUGUCUCUUAUAC